GCUUGUAUAGCACAGUGGUAGUGCACCUCUUUGGUAAAGAGGAGGUCGCGGGUUCGAUUCCCUCUACAAGCA
Molecule: transfer RNA, 72 nt
Filed under: Stenotrophomonas phage vB_SmaS-DLP_6
Lineage: Duplodnaviria; Heunggongvirae; Uroviricota; Caudoviricetes
Rfam family: tRNA
About the family: Transfer RNA (tRNA) molecules are approximately 80 nucleotides in length. Their secondary structure includes four short double-helical elements and three loops (D, anti-codon, and T loops). Further hydrogen bonds mediate the characteristic L-shaped molecular structure. tRNAs have two regions of fundamental functional importance: the anti-codon, which is responsible for specific mRNA codon recognition, and the 3' end, to which the tRNAs corresponding amino acid is attached (by aminoacyl-tRNA synthetases). tRNAs cope with the degeneracy of the genetic code in two manners: having more than one tRNA (with a specific anti-codon) for a particular amino acid; and 'wobble' base-pairing, i.e. permitting non-standard base-pairing at the 3rd anti-codon position.
Source: Rfam by way of RNAcentral